ACAUAAUAAACAACAGAAUAUAUAGGGUAGAUGAAGAGUGAGAUCU
This 46-nucleotide non-coding RNA is filed under the name Trypanosoma brucei brucei. Lineage: Eukaryota; Euglenozoa; Kinetoplastea; Trypanosomatida; Trypanosomatidae. The record is from RNAcentral.